RNAcentral lists this non-coding RNA (104 nucleotides) under Trichobilharzia regenti. The record is from Rfam by way of RNAcentral. Lineage: Eukaryota; Metazoa; Platyhelminthes; Trematoda; Strigeidida; Schistosomatidae.
AUGUCAGCUGUUUUUAUCUUUGUGAAGCAGUAUUCAUCAAGUGAUAGAUCGGCCACUCACUCAUAGACAAAGCGAGCAUGAUAUGGACCGUCAUAAGACAGGUU